UAUUAAAUACCAAUGUUUACAUCGAACCCUUCAUCAAUACUGAAUGACCCUAUAAAUUAUAGGAGACAUAAUGCUAGAACUAGUAACAAGAAAUUGACUUUCUCCGAAAUGCAAGUGUACGCCAAAACGGACCCACCAUUGGCAUUUACCGUGUUUGACCCUAAUAUAGUAACGCCCCUAGAAAAACCUAUUGUUCUUCACGUUAACCUAACACAAGAGCAUUACCGGAAAGAUUAAAAGAGAAAGAAGGAACUCGGCAAAUCUAAGCCCCGCCUGUUUACCAAAAACAUCGCCUCUUGAUAAGAUAUAAGAGGUCCAGCCUGCCCAGUGACAUAGUUAAACGGCCGCGGUACCCUGACCGUGCGAAGGUAGCAUAAUCACUUGUUCCUUAAAUAGGGACUUGUAUGAAAGGCAUCACGAGGGCUUUACUGUCUCCUUUCUCCAAUCAGUGAAACUGAUCUCCCCGUGAAGAAGCGGGGAUAUAAUUAUAAGACGAGAAGACCCCAUGGAGCUUUAAACCCAACGACACCCCUCAACCCCAUAAUCCUUUAUAGUUGCUACAGCCCUGUUCGUUGGUUUUAGGUUGGGGUGACCGCGGAGCAUAAAAUACCCUCCACGACGAAUGGGACUACCCCCUUACCCAAGAGCUACUCCUCUAAGGAUCAAUAAAUUGACGUAAAAUGAUCCAAGUAAUUGAUCAACGGACCAAGUUACCCUGGGGAUAACAGCGCAAUCCAUUUCAAGAGCCCCUAUCGACAAAUGGGUUUACGACCUCGAUGUUGGAUCAGGGUAUCCAAGUGGUGCAGCCGCUACUAAUGGUUUGUUUGUUCAACAAUUAAAA
RNAcentral lists this ribosomal RNA (841 nucleotides) under Hoplobatrachus tigerinus (Indus valley bullfrog). RNAcentral describes it as "partial large subunit ribosomal RNA". It matches the Rfam family "Bacterial large subunit ribosomal RNA", at positions 1245 to 2593 of the family's 2925-position model. The record is from RNAcentral. Lineage: Eukaryota; Metazoa; Chordata; Amphibia; Anura; Dicroglossidae.